This 27-nucleotide non-coding RNA is filed under the name Mus musculus (house mouse). Lineage: Eukaryota; Metazoa; Chordata; Mammalia; Rodentia; Muridae. The record is from RNAcentral.
UUGGUCGCUGCAAUUGAAAUCCUAAGA